RNAcentral lists this ribosomal RNA (254 nucleotides) under uncultured bacterium. RNAcentral describes it as "partial 16S ribosomal RNA". It matches the Rfam family "Bacterial small subunit ribosomal RNA", at positions 524 to 776 of the family's 1533-position model. The record is from RNAcentral.
GACGGAGGAUGCAAGCGUUAUCCGGAAUGAUUGGGCGUAAAGGGCUCGUAGGCGGUCUGUCGCGUCGAUCGUGAAAACUUGGGGCUUAACCCUGAGCUUGCGGUCGAUACGGGCAUGACUGGAGUUCGGCAGGGGAGACUGGAAUUCCUGGUGUAGCGGUGAAAUGCGCAGAUAUCAGGAGGAACACCGGUGGCGAAGGCGGGUCUCUGGGCCGAUACUGACGCUGAGGAGCGAAAGCGUGGGGAGCGAACAGG